UGGUGGAGUGAUUUGUCUGGUUAAUUCCGAUAACGAACGAGACCUUAACCUGCUAAAUAGCCAGGCCGGCUCUUGCUGGUCGCCGGCUUCUUAGAGGGACUGUCAGCGUCUAGCUGACGGAAGUUUGAGGCAAUAACA
RNAcentral lists this ribosomal RNA (138 nucleotides) under uncultured eukaryote. Its description in RNAcentral is "partial 18S ribosomal RNA". It matches the Rfam family "Eukaryotic small subunit ribosomal RNA", at positions 1299 to 1458 of the family's 1831-position model. The record is from RNAcentral.